RNAcentral lists this ribosomal RNA (331 nucleotides) under uncultured bacterium. RNAcentral describes it as "bacterial SSU rRNA". It matches the Rfam family "Bacterial small subunit ribosomal RNA", at positions 32 to 356 of the family's 1533-position model. The record is from RNAcentral.
AAUCAACGCUGGCGGCGUGCCUCAGACAUGCAAGUCGAACGAUUAAAGCUCUCUUCGGAGAGUGCAUAAAGUGGCGCACGGGUGAGUAACACGUAAGUAAUCUACCUUCGAGUGGGGAAUAACGUCCGGAACGGACGCUAAUACCGCAUAACGCAGCGGCAUCGCAAGAUGACAGUUGUUAAAGAUUUAUCGCUUGAAGAGGAGCUUGCGGCAGAUUAGCUUGUUGGUAAGGUAACGGCUUACCAAGGCUACGAUCUGUAUCCGGUCUAAGAGGACGGUCGGACACACUGACACUGAAUAACGGGUCAGACUCCCACGGGAGGCAGCAGUC